UUAAAAUAAUAAAUAACCAUAAGUGGCCUAGUGGAGAGAGAGCAGUUUCACUUGCUUUAGUGGGAUGGGUUAGAUACUUGGGAGUAGUAUAUCUCCAUAUUUAUUUUUUAAUGCUUACUAUUUAAUUUAAUUUUUUUCAUAUCUUAUUGCUAUUUAUUUUAUCUUUAUAUUUUUAUCAAUUUAAUUUGAUCGUUAUUUAGUUGUUUAUAUUUUUAAAAUUUACCUUUUAGAUUUAAU
This 237-nucleotide long non-coding RNA is filed under the name Lathyrus oleraceus (garden pea). Its description in RNAcentral is "Pisum sativum (pea) long non-coding RNA (PSAT_LNC001644)". The record is from RNAcentral. Lineage: Eukaryota; Viridiplantae; Streptophyta; Magnoliopsida; Fabales; Fabaceae.